This 253-nucleotide ribosomal RNA is filed under the name uncultured bacterium. Its description in RNAcentral is "partial 16S ribosomal RNA". It matches the Rfam family "Bacterial small subunit ribosomal RNA", at positions 524 to 776 of the family's 1533-position model. The record is from RNAcentral.
GACGAACCGAGCGAACGUUGUUCGGAAUCACUGGGCUUAAAGGGCGCGUAGGCGGAUUCGCAAGUCUGUGGUGAAAUCCUCCGGCUCAACCGGAGAACUGCCUCGGAUACUGCGGGUCUCGAGGGUGAUAGGGGUAUGCGGAACUAUCGGUGGAGCGGUGAAAUGCGUUGAUAUCGAUAGGAACUCCGGUGGCGAAGGCGGCAUACUGGAUCACUUCUGACGCUGAAGCGCGAAAGCCAGGGGAGCAAACGGG